UACAGAGGGGGCAAGCGUUAUUCAGAAUUAUUGGGCGUAAAGGGCGCGUAGGCGGCCUGGCAAGUGGAAGGUGAAAUCCCUCGGCUUAACCGAGGAACUGCCCUCCAAACUGCUUGGCUUGAGUCCGGGAGAGGUGAGUGGAAUUCCCAGUGUAGCGGUGAAAUGCGUAGAUAUCGGAAGGAACACCAGUGGCGAAAGCGGCUUCCUGGUCCGACACCGACGUUCAGGCACGAAAGCGUGGGGAGCAAACAGG
This 253-nucleotide ribosomal RNA is filed under the name uncultured bacterium. RNAcentral describes it as "partial 16S ribosomal RNA". It matches the Rfam family "Bacterial small subunit ribosomal RNA", at positions 524 to 776 of the family's 1533-position model. The record is from RNAcentral.